CGCAUCUGUGCAUGCAGCAUAUCAAUAAGCGGAGGAAAAGAAACUAACAAGGAUUCCCCUAGUAACGGCGAGUGAAGCGGGAAGAGCUCAAAUUUGAAAUCUUAAAGGGUUUCCCUUUACGAAUUGUAGUUUAAAGAAGUGUUUUCUGUUGAGGUUUUGGUAAAAGUUCUUUGGAAUAGGACAUCAUAGAGGGUGAGAAUCCCGUAUUUGACCUUUACUUUCAACUUUGUGAUACACUUUCAAAGAGUCGGAUUGUUUGGGAAUGCAGUCCAAAAUGGGUGGUAAAUUUCAUCUAAAGCUAAAUAUUGGCGAGAGACCGAUAGCGAACAAGUACCGUGAGGGAAAGAUGAAAAGAACUUUGAAAAGAGAGUUAAACAGUACGUGAAAUUGUCAAAAGGGAUGCGUUUGACACCAGUGUUGUUUUUCUGAAAAUCAAUUAAAGAACUGUUUAUGCUAAGCUGUUUAGACUUUAUCAGCUAACUGUUUAGUUUUGAGCUUUUCUUUAAUGCACUUUUCAGUUAACAAGUCAACAUCAAUUUCUUUUGCUGUAAAAAAGCUUGAGGAAGGUGGCUUGAGAUUCGUCUUAAGUGUUUAUAGCCUCUUGCCUAUGCAGUCGGAGAGAUUGAGGUCUGCAGCGUAGAUCCUUCGGGGCUAAAUGCAUUUGUGCUAAGUUAUAGCAUUUUAUAGACAACUUGUUGACUAUGAUUUGUCUUGUAGCUUACUCGCUUAUGUUAUUUUACCUACGCUUAGGAUGUUGAGCGCAUGUCUCUCUCU
Molecule: ribosomal RNA, 774 nt
Filed under: uncultured Neocallimastigales
Lineage: Eukaryota; Fungi; Neocallimastigomycota; Neocallimastigomycetes; Neocallimastigales
Description: partial large subunit ribosomal RNA
Rfam family: Eukaryotic large subunit ribosomal RNA
Source: RNAcentral